This 936-nucleotide ribosomal RNA is filed under the name Salmonella enterica subsp. enterica serovar Senftenberg. Its description in RNAcentral is "partial 23S ribosomal RNA". It matches the Rfam family "Bacterial large subunit ribosomal RNA", at positions 1990 to 2925 of the family's 2925-position model. Lineage: Bacteria; Pseudomonadati; Pseudomonadota; Gammaproteobacteria; Enterobacterales; Enterobacteriaceae. The record is from RNAcentral.
GCACGAAAGGCGUAACGAUUUGGGCACUGUCUCAACGAGAGACUCGGUGAAAUCAUAGUACCUGUGAAGAUGCAGGUUACCCGCGACAGGACGGAAAGACCCCGUGGAGCUUUACUGUAGCCUGAUAUUGAAAUUCGGCACAGCUUGUACAGGAUAGGUAGGAGCCUUUGAAACGUGAGCGCUAGCUUACGUGGAGGCGCUGGUGGGAUACUACCCUAGCUGUGUUGGCUUUCUAACCCGCACCACUUAUCGUGGUGGGAGACAGUGUCAGGCGGGCAGUUUGACUGGGGCGGUCGCCUCCUAAAAGGUAACGGAGGCGCUCAAAGGUUCCCUCAGAAUGGUUGGAAAUCAUUCAUAGAGUGUAAAGGCAUAAGGGAGCUUGACUGCGAGACCUACAAGUCGAGCAGGGUCGAAAGACGGACUUAGUGAUCCGGUGGUUCCGCAUGGAAGGGCCAUCGCUCAACGGAUAAAAGCUACCCCGGGGAUAACAGGCUUAUCUCCCCCAAGAGUUCACAUCGACGGGGAGGUUUGGCACCUCGAUGUCGGCUCAUCGCAUCCUGGGGCUGUAGUCGGUCCCAAGGGUUGGGCUGUUCGCCCAUUAAAGCGGUACGCGAGCUGGGUUCAGAACGUCGUGAGACAGUUCGGUCCCUAUCCGUCGUGGGCGUAGGAAAUUUGAGAGGAGCUGUCCUUAGUACGAGAGGACCGGGAUGGACAUACCUCUGGUGUACCAGUUGUCGUGCCAACGGCAUAGCUGGGUAGCUAUGUAUGGACGGGAUAAGUGCUGAAAGCAUCUAAGCAUGAAGCCCCCCUCAAGAUGAGAUUUCCCAACUUCGGUUAUAAGAUCCCUCAAAGAUGAUGAGGUUAAUAGGUUCGAGGUGGAAGCGUGGUGACACGUGGAGCUGACGAAUACUAAUCGAUCGAAGACUUAAUCAAUUU